UGGGGAAUAUUGGACAAUGGGCGAAAGCCUGAUCCAGCCAUGCCGCGUGUGUGAAGAAGGCCUUUUGGUUGUAAAGCACUUUAAGUGGGGAGGAAAAGCUUGUGGUUAAUACCCAUAAGCCCUGACGUUACCCACAGAAUAAGCACCGGCUAACUCUGUGCCAGCAGCCGCGGUAAUACAGAGGGUGCAAGCGUUAAUCGGAAUUACUGGGCGUAAAGCGCGCGUAGGUGGUUAUUUAAGUCAGAUGUGAAAGCCCCGGGCUUAACCUGGGAACUGCAUCUGAUACUGGAUGACUAGAGUAGGUGAGAGGGGAGUAGAAUUCCAGGUGUAGCGGUGAAAUGCGUAGAGAUCUGGAGGAAUACCGAUGGCGAAGGCAGCUCCCUGGCAUCAUACUGACACUGAGGUGCGAAAGCGUGGGUAGCAAACAGGAUUAGAUACCCUGGUAGUCCACGCCGUAAACGAUGUCUACCAGUCGUUGGGUCUUUUAAAGACUUAGUGACGCAGUUAACGCAAUAAGUAGACCGCCUGGGGAGUACGGCCGCAAGGUUA
This 549-nucleotide ribosomal RNA is filed under the name uncultured bacterium. RNAcentral describes it as "bacterial SSU rRNA". It matches the Rfam family "Bacterial small subunit ribosomal RNA", at positions 355 to 896 of the family's 1533-position model. The record is from RNAcentral.